Ictalurus punctatus (channel catfish) is the source of this 1024-nucleotide long non-coding RNA. NCBI's taxonomy places the organism in Eukaryota, Metazoa, Chordata, Actinopteri, Siluriformes, Ictaluridae. The record is from Ensembl.
AUGCAAACGAAGCUGACUUCCAAGUAAAUAUUAUUAGUGCUCGUAUGAAAUCUCCAGACAAGGCUUCCUCAUGAAUCCAUGCCAGUAUUCUCCUUGAAAAACUUUUUCUUUUUUUUUUUUUUUUGGUAAUGAAAAUGUGUUGUAAUACAAAUUUGUUUACAAAUGUGUGCAUGGUGUGCAUAUAUUAAUAAUUUUUUUUCUUAUUUACUGAUUAAAUCAGUUAUUUGUAACCUGUAUAUUUGUCUGGAUAUUUUUUUUUGUAUCAGUAUGAUUAUUCUCAGGUUUUACAUGAUAAAGCAACGUUGCUGCUUUAAAUUGAAAUAAAAAGGAGCGUAAUGAUCACACUUCUAUUUGUAUUUCUUGUCGGAGAAAUACUCCGGGCAGGUCCCGUUAAGAGUGGGGAUUAAACACGGAAAUUUUAUUCUGAAAGAGAAUCGGGUAUGUUUCACAUUCUGACUCUAGUAGUAUAGUGGAAAUGCAGUGACUAGAAAUUGAUUUCUUUUUAACUGUUCUACACUAGACACUCUGUAGUGUUCAGUAUGAGCACGGUCAUGAGUUCUGCACCACUUCCUGUCCCAAUUAUGGUCACUUUGUCCUGUUUAGUCAAAAGAGUGAGGUUAAAAGCGUAGAUAUUUAAACAUUAAGUACACAAAAAAAAGUAUUUCUACUUUUGUUACUUCACAUCUGUCGAAAUUUCGUACGGAAAGCAGAGGUCUAUAGAUGGAGUCCCCAGAGAUGAGAUUUACAUAGUUUCCAUUCAUGCAGGCAUCACUUCUCGUAACGGUUGAUCUCAUUUGGUUUGUGUGUGUGUGUGCGCGUGCAGGGGGAGGAGAGCUUGUAUGCAAGUGUGCUGUGUAUCUUCAUAAAGAGCAGUGUCUGACCGUGAGUGUGUGCGUCUUGCCUGAAGAUUAACCUCUGAUCCUUUCUGUCCACCUUCUGGAAGAACAUCAUGAUCGUCAGCACUCUGAUUCUCCUCUUCACUCUUCCUGCAGGUCUGGAAACUCUCGUGCUUACACAGGAGAAA